RNAcentral lists this transfer RNA (63 nucleotides) under Uroctonus mordax (western forest scorpion). Its description in RNAcentral is "tRNA-Ser". The record is from RNAcentral. Lineage: Eukaryota; Metazoa; Arthropoda; Arachnida; Scorpiones; Chactidae.
AAUUAUUUAGCUUAAAAAAAGUUUUUAUUUUGAAAAUAAAAGAUUAGGAAUCCUAGAUAAUUA